This 521-nucleotide long non-coding RNA is filed under the name Papio anubis (olive baboon). RNAcentral's name for it is "lncRNA (ENSPANG00000038751.1)". The record is from RNAcentral. Lineage: Eukaryota; Metazoa; Chordata; Mammalia; Primates; Cercopithecidae.
AUGUCAGGGUCUUCAUUUGGUCUGCCGCUUCUCCUCGAAUCUCCUCCACUGCUUCCUCCUGACCGAUUCCUACCUAUCCUUCUCGUCUUAGUCGGGAAACACAUCCUCUGGGAAGUCUUCCAUGACCGUUUAACACCUAGCAUCUGCCUCCGUGGCAUUCCUCUAGGAUCUCUCUCUGUCACCCUGACUGCAGUACAGUGGUGCCAUCCCAGCUCACCACAGCCUCGACUUUCCAGGCUCAGAUGAUCCUCCCACCUCAGUCUCCUGGGUAACUGAGACUACAGGUAUGCGCCACCACUCCCAGCUAAUUUUUUGUAUCUUUGGUAGAGACAGGGUUUCACCAUGUUGCCCAGGCUGGUCUCAAAACUCCUGGGCUCAAGUGAUCUGCCCGCCUUGGCCUCCAAAAGUGCUGGACAACAGGCAUGAGCCACCAUGCCUGGCCCAUUCCCAUUUUACAAAUGAGGAAGUUGAGGCUUGGAGAGACUUAGGGACUUUUGAAAGAAUUGUGGAGAUGAAUUGCA